Molecule: long non-coding RNA, 479 nt
Filed under: Citrus maxima (pomelo)
Lineage: Eukaryota; Viridiplantae; Streptophyta; Magnoliopsida; Sapindales; Rutaceae
Description: long non-coding RNA (CMAX_LNC003064)
Source: RNAcentral
UCAAUGAUAGGUAUACAACAAAAUAGUGUCAGAUGCAUGCACAAAAGACACAUGACAUAACAACGCAUACUCAUAAUGGAUUAAUUUCUUCUUAUUAAGACAUAUUUUCAAUAUCACUAUAAUUGAUCAUUAUUGCAAAAGCACUCAUAAAAGAUAAAAGAAUUAACUGAUUACACAAUUUUUUUGCAUCCCCCCGGGGGACAAGGGUAGAUAUAGUCUUCGAGAGCUUUUUUUAACUUCGCAAUCAAACACUCUUCCCUUGUAAGCCCUAAGCAGUCAACAAUGUCAAGUGAUGCCGUAGGAUUAAUUGAAAACGAAGCAUAUGGGUUGGAUCCUUGGCCAUUAUGACUUGUUGAAAUAAGUGUGCUUUCAGUGUUUACCACUACAAGCAAAGCUAAGAUGAUGAAACUAAGACUCUUCGACAUAUUUUUGUUUCUUAGGUGAAUUGUAAGUAACUUAAUUAGAAAUAAAAGAGAUCU